AAAGUCUUUGUCGUACAACUUGCACCCAAAAGUAGAAUUGCAGAGAAAGAAACGGGGGAGAGGAAAAAAUUGAUUUUUUUUAUUUUUAUUUUUUUUUUUGAAAGAGGAGAAAAUUGAUUGUUACAAAGUCAACGUGGUUGUUUCCUAAAUACUUAUUUUUAUUUUUGGUGCAAUUGUUGGAGAGUUGAAAAAUCUGGUAUGGGGAUUGAGAUUGAGAAGAGAAACCCUCAUUCUUCUUCUUCAUCAACAUCUCCUUGCGCCCAGCUCAGAGACGCUUAUCACAAUUGUUUCAACAGGUGGUAUUCAGAGAAGUUCUUGAAGGGUCAUUGGGACAAAGAGGAGUGCAUCUCUGAGUGGCAGAAAUACAGAGAUUGUCUCUCACAACAUUUGGACGAUAAGCAUCUGAGUCGCUUCUUAGAAGCCGAAGGCAUAAUUGACCAGACCAAUCAAGCUGAUUUUAGAAGUCCCAUUGGGGUCUCUAAAUAAUAUCUGUUCCAUCUGAUCUUCUUACGGGAGCGAAGAUUGGUCUUGGUGGAGUAAGAGGUGGUCUGUACUACUUGGAUAUGAACUGGGCUUCAAAUGGAAAAGCAAAUCAAAUAGUUGGCAUAUUACAAGCUAUUUUGGCAAUGGCGCGUGUUUGUGGGCUGGCUACCUUUUGCUGCUAUUGUGUGCUUACUCACUUCAAUCCACUCUACUUGACAGUUAUUAGGUAGCAAAGAAUCUCUGUUUGCUUAAGUUGUGAUACUAGAGUCCAAUCUUUUUUUUUGGACGAGUGAUACUAGAGUCUAAUCUUAAAACCAGUGUUGUUGGGGACGAACAGCUAACAACUUCUAUUGUGGAUAUGGAGGCAGGAGAGAAAAACCGAAAGCCCAUAAGAAUGGGAUUAGAUUAUGUAUGAUGGUUUCAAUUACUCUAAAAUAGGGUUUUUCUUCAAUUGCUCCUUUGCAUUGUACUUGAAUAUAAAUUUAUUAUGGAGAGGGUAUAUGCCCAUGUCCAGUUUUUA
This is an RNA transcript of Cornus florida, 1003 nucleotides long. RefSeq lists it as uncharacterized. The transcript has 5 exons. The record is from RefSeq and is a predicted model, not a curated record. Lineage: Eukaryota; Viridiplantae; Streptophyta; Magnoliopsida; Cornales; Cornaceae.